RNAcentral lists this non-coding RNA (45 nucleotides) under Schistosoma mansoni. The record is from RNAcentral. Lineage: Eukaryota; Metazoa; Platyhelminthes; Trematoda; Strigeidida; Schistosomatidae.
AUCCAGCUGACGAGUCCGAAAUAUGACAAAACACGUGUCUUGGAU